AUCAUAGCUCAGUUGGUAGAGCAAAGGACUGAAAAUCCUUGUGUCCCCGGUUCGAUUCCUGGUGAU
Molecule: transfer RNA, 66 nt
Filed under: uncultured Phocaeicola sp.
Lineage: Bacteria; Pseudomonadati; Bacteroidota; Bacteroidia; Bacteroidales; Bacteroidaceae
Rfam family: tRNA
About the family: Transfer RNA (tRNA) molecules are approximately 80 nucleotides in length. Their secondary structure includes four short double-helical elements and three loops (D, anti-codon, and T loops). Further hydrogen bonds mediate the characteristic L-shaped molecular structure. tRNAs have two regions of fundamental functional importance: the anti-codon, which is responsible for specific mRNA codon recognition, and the 3' end, to which the tRNAs corresponding amino acid is attached (by aminoacyl-tRNA synthetases). tRNAs cope with the degeneracy of the genetic code in two manners: having more than one tRNA (with a specific anti-codon) for a particular amino acid; and 'wobble' base-pairing, i.e. permitting non-standard base-pairing at the 3rd anti-codon position.
Source: RNAcentral